Long non-coding RNA from Meriones unguiculatus (Mongolian gerbil), 4387 nucleotides. RefSeq lists it as uncharacterized. NCBI's taxonomy places the organism in Eukaryota, Metazoa, Chordata, Mammalia, Rodentia, Muridae. The transcript is spliced from 4 exons. The record is from RefSeq and is a predicted model, not a curated record.
CCUCCCCACCCACUCUUCAGAAAAGAGCAGGCUCCCUUGGAAGUCAACCCAGCUGGCCGCCUGGCGUAUCAAGUUGUAGUAAGAUGGAAGCAGGAUUCUUAAAGAACUGAUACGGGAUGGGGAGUGAAGACUCCUGACCAGCCAUGGGAACCAGAUGGAUACCUAGGAAGAAGUCACCCCAGUGCCUUGUGUGGCUGGAUAGGGAAGACAGAAUCCUGGAACCAUUUGUGUUGUCUCCGGGGACGGCUGAGUAGAAAAUUGCCUGCCACGCUUGAGUUCGGAGACCCAGAGCGCACAUAAGAGAACCAAGCACAGAAACAGUGAGACAGACGAUCUGAUGUCACCGGAAGGCCAUCGGCACAGCCCGGAAAUGAAAAGACAACGGAAGCGUUUUGGGAUGAAUGGCUGGCUUCUUUGGUGAGUGCCCUACAGGCGUGCCCAGCCUGAGACCCAGACGGUGGACAGUGUUCAGUUCAGGACAGCUAUGAAUGCAGCACAGAAUCAUAACUGUAUUUAAAAACAUUAAGAUUUUAUUUUAUUUUUUUGGAACUCAAUUGAGAGGUUUUGCAGUGUGGACUCAGGGGACACAUGUGUCACAGUGUGCAAAGGUCGGACAUGCCCACCGGGGAAGGAAUGUGGAGGAGGUGAGGCGUGCACACAUUAAAAAAGGCUUAACGGAUAUCACAUGAAGUCAGUAUGAAGACCUCACUUUGUUACUUUCUAACUUAAGUAGAGGUGACAGGUGGCUACAGCAGUGGUCCCCGGAUUGCACUCUCUGCAGGAGGCGUUAGGAAACCACGCCCUUCCGGAUCCGGUCCGAUGGCACCGCAUAAAAUCCGAAGUCAACCGCAGUCUACUGAACUCGUUAACGCUCUCCUCUUCCUGGAUUUGGUGUGAGAAAUUGCUCAGGACUUGAAGCCAGGGUUGAGCGUCGGAAGCAUAGCUGUCCCACGCUGCAGAGCCACGCCUGUGCGGCCAGCCUUUCUGAAGAGACCAAGCUGGGCUCUCUGUGUACCACACAUGUAACAAUUGUUCAAGAAGUCCAGGAGCAAACAUACAGAAGGUGCUUUCAAACCUAUCAGGGUGGGAAGAACUUCAUCUUAAGAGUCCCUUCUCCCAGAUGCUGGCAGUGCGGCCUACUUUCCCACGGAAUUGAGAGGCGCCUAAGUAUAAGAUCAUGAAAAGGAAAUGACACAAAACUCAGGUGCUGUCAGGGUUCCCGUGUUCAUCUGUGUGUGACUGUCUAGAACACAUCCGGGGUCAGGAAGCAUCAACACAAGUCAGACCUGUUUCGUCAUCCAGCUUCUCGUUGUUGUAACAGUUAUGAAUAAGCUUGGUAAAGUCUAUUGGAUAGUGUCAGCAUUCAGAUUUGAACACGAACAUGCACAAUUCUUACUGACAGCAGAUAAACUGUGUUAGUGGCUUUGUUUUUAACCACGGAAUCAGUCCCUCGGUCUGUUCCCUGUGCCCUUCUGUGCUGUCCCAUGUGUAGACAGGUCUUUAGUGUUGCACUGCGUCUAAGUUUGCAAUUAAAAUAGACCAAAACAUUAAAGUGCCUAAGAGUGAGAAUUAGGGAUUUUUAUUUGUUAUCCUCUCAUGAGGCCCAUAAAUUUCUUUCUUUCUUUCUUUCUUCUUCUCUCUCUCUUUUCAUUUUUUUUUUCAAGACAGAGUUUCUCUGUGUAUAGCCCUGGCUAUCCCCCGGACUCACUUUUUAAUUUUUUUAAAGAUUUAUUUAUUUUACAUAUGAGUGCUCUAUCUGCAUGUACACCUGCACGAAAGAAGAGGGCAUCAGGUCCCACUAUAGAUGGCUGUGAGCCACCAUGUAGUUGCUGUAAAUUGAACUCAGGACCUCUGGAAGAGCAGACAAUGCUCUUAGCGACUGAGCCAUCUCUCCAGCCCCUGGACUCACUUUUCUAGACCAGGCUGUACUCAAAUUUACAGAGACAUGCUUGCCUCUGCCUCCCGAGUGCUGGCAUUAGAGUUGUGCCCUACCACACUCGGCAAUACAUUUCUUAAUUUUAAAGUAGGAAAAGAGUUGAAGUCUACAGGAUUCGGUCAUUUUUUUUUUUUUAAUGACUUUGUAGUCUCAGUGCUCAUUAUGUGACCAAUGUGAAUUACUUCACUUCUCUGAGGCUCAGUUAGGCAGGACUAUAAUGAGACCAAGAGCGCUGGUCAUGGAGGCUUUCGUAAGAGCGUAUGUAGAGUGUGCAUCAGGCUCUGUAAGCAGAGGCGCUGUGGGAAUCUAAAGAUGCACAGCUGAUACAGCCAAGAGCACAGGACUCCCCGCACUCACUUGCUCUCCUCUUUCUUCUGGCAACCAAACAAACAGAAAAGGAAUAUUUGCAUGGGAGUCAUUUGGCAGCUAGUAAAACGUGGUUUCAGCAGGGUGCGGUGGUGCACGCCUGUAAUCCCUGCACUCUCGAGGCAGAGGCAGACGGAGCUCUGUGAGUUUGAGGCCAGCCUGGUCUACAAGGCAAACCCAGGACAGCCAAGGCUACACAGAGACACCCUAUUUCAAAACACCAAAAGAAAAAGACAAAGGCUUUUAUCUACCACUUGCUUCCCUAAAUAGAAGCAGGCCUGUCAUUAAUAAUGACGUCGACCUAGUUUCUCACGUGAGUCAGGGCCUGACUUCAGCCUGCCCUCCCCCAUCCACAGGUGGCUCCAUUCAGACUGGCUGAGGUGAAAGGAGGUCAGUUCUUCUGGAAACCUUUUCUAGGAAGGGCAGAGAUAUAGGAUGUGUCAGUUCUUUCUGUUUCUUGGUGGGAGCAUGUGAUGGAAUUGAUCAAUGAAGACAGUAAGUCUGGAAGACUUUAUCCCUUUUGUUCUGUUCCUGUGCCCCGGAAAAAAGGAAAAAAAAAAAAAAAAGCCAGCCUUUCUUAAUACACUAUGCUGGAUGCCGAAGCUAUGAAGGGGAGCCUCACGGUCUAUCAGCUUGGCACACUUGGAGAGACAGGGAGAGAGACUGAGUUCAGCUGAAGGCAUCAAAAUGCUCACAAUAAAAUGGCAGGGGACACGGUUGCUAACCUGGCGAACAUCAAAUGCUUUGGAAGAGACCGACUCUCACCAGGAAAGACAGUCUUUAGAGAGAAGACGGCUUGCGGCUAGGGCCUUGCCGAGUUCAUUGCGGCAGACACAGCCGUCUGUGUUGGCCCUCCAAGACGCUUGCUGUUUUCCCCCACAGGAACCGGAGAGGCGCAGGGCAUUUUGAGAGCACUGGUGUGGCUUCAGCUGUCGUUUGCUGCUCUGCCUGGGAGUUCCUGCUCACGUUUGGAGACAACGUGUGAAAGACGGCCAGUUGCGGUGGCUGCCUGUGAUCUCGGCAACGAGAGGCGACAGCGUUAGUGACUCUGCAGUGUGAAUGUGGCCAAGACAUUAAUGAGUCCUGUCUUGAGCUGGCCUUGGCACAGUUGCUGGGAAUAAAGCAGUAAAACAUGACAACCAGGGGCCCCAGACUCACAAGUUUAUCCGUGGAAACCAGCAAUUAGUUAGAUAAUUACACCUGGAGUAAGCGUUGGGGGCAGAAGCAAGGGGAGCCUGGAGCGGCUGUCUGCGCUUUAGCGAAGUUUUCCUUAAAGAAGUCACAUUUGAGCUGGCCAGACGGAGAGGGUGGUAGAGAGUUGGGGCCAAGAGCCGUGGCAAGCAGGCUGGAGGCGGCCUUCCUAGGUGGCCCAGGAAGCACUGCAGCGGCUAAGGAGGUGGGGGAAAUUCCCUCCUUGUGCGUGGGCCUUGGGAAGCUUUCAGGGUCUCCGCCAUUACUGGGAGCAACACUUGCUUUAAAGGUUGCUCAGAGGACACAAGGAGAAAGGAGCAGAAUGAGAUGAGAAUGGACGUGGGAAGGAAGGUGGGAGGCUGUGAGACUUAAGGAGGAGCCAGUGAAGAAGUGAGGGUGGAGAUGGGGAACGUAAGAUCAGAGAGAAGGGAGGACAAGGAAAGGGAGACCCGGAAAGGGUGUACAGGCAUGUACAGGCCUUUCUCUGGGACAAAGACCUGCAGAGUCUCUGGUACAGAACCAGAAUCCUCUGACAGCUUACAGGUGGGAGUAGUCACAGGGCAGGAGAAGGGACAGGCAGAGUGACAGUUUUCCUUUUUUGGCUCACGGCUGACCUUUGCCGGUGGGAACCAGUGAGUCAGUUAUAGAAAGUCAGAAGGUAAAUGGUCUACCUGUGGCUGGCAAUUCUUAGGGGUUAAUAGGACGAUUGAGGGUAAGCAUAGUAAAAAAAAAAAAAAAGAAAAGAGAAAAAAAAACCAAACCAAAACAAAACAACCAAGUGAUUUCAAUUCUGGGGACCAAAGUACUUUUGUUAAGGAACUAUCAUUGCUUAAUCAAAAUGGAGGAAGCCCUGGCUAACAGCGACAUAGGAAAAAAAAACAAAGGUGAACUGGA